UAGGGAAUCUUCCGCAAUGGGCGAAAGCCUGACGGAGCAACGCCGCGUGAGUGAUGAAGGUCUUCGGAUCGUAAAACUCUGUUAUUAGGGAAGAACAAAUGUGUAAGUAACUAUGCACGUCUUGACGGUACCUAAUCAGAAAGCCACGGCUAACUACGUGCCAGCAGCCGCGGUAAUACGUAGGUGGCAAGCGUUAUCCGGAAUUAUUGGGCGUAAAGCGCGCGUAGGCGGUUUUUUAAGUCUGAUGUGAAAGCCCACGGCUCAAACGUGGAGGGUCAUUGGGAACUGGAAAACUUGAGUGCAGAAGAGGGUAGUGGAAUUCCAUGUGUAGCGGUGAAAUGCGCAGGGGUAUGGAGGAACACCAGUGGCGAAGGCGACUUUCUGGUCUGUAACUGACGCUGAUGUGCGAAAGCGUGGGGAUCAAACAGG
RNAcentral lists this ribosomal RNA (429 nucleotides) under Actinomycetes bacterium. Its description in RNAcentral is "Actinobacteria bacterium partial 16S ribosomal RNA". It matches the Rfam family "Bacterial small subunit ribosomal RNA", at positions 355 to 776 of the family's 1533-position model. The record is from RNAcentral. Lineage: Bacteria; Bacillati; Actinomycetota; Actinomycetes.